AGUGAACGCUGGCGGUAGGCCUAACACAUGCAAGUCGAACGGCAGCACAGUAAGAGCUUGCUCUUACGGGUGGCGAGUGGCGGACGGGUGAGGAAUACAUCGGAAUCUACUUUUUCGUGGGGGAUAACGUAGGGAAACUUACGCUAAUACCGCAUACGACCUACGGGUGAAAGCAGGGGAUCUUCGGACCUUGCGCGAUUGAAUGAGCCGAUGUCGGAUUAGCUAGUUGGCGGGGUAAAGGCCUACCAAGGCGACGAUCCGUAGCUGGUCUGAGAGGAUGAUCAGCCACACUGGAACUGAGACACGGUCCAGACUCCUACGGGAGGCAGCAGUGGGGAAUAUUGGACAAUGGGCGCAAGCCUGAUCCAGCCAUACCGCGUGAGUGAAGAAGGCCUUCGGGUUGUAAAGCCCUUUUGUUGGGAAAGAAAAGCAGCAGGUUAAUACCCCGCUGUUCUGACGGUACCCAAAGAAUAAGCACCGGCUAACUUCGUG
This 492-nucleotide ribosomal RNA is filed under the name uncultured bacterium. RNAcentral's name for it is "partial 16S ribosomal RNA". It matches the Rfam family "Bacterial small subunit ribosomal RNA", at positions 29 to 507 of the family's 1533-position model. The record is from RNAcentral.